This is a long non-coding RNA of Pseudophryne corroboree (corroboree frog), 474 nucleotides long. RefSeq lists it as uncharacterized. The transcript has 3 exons. NCBI's taxonomy places the organism in Eukaryota, Metazoa, Chordata, Amphibia, Anura, Myobatrachidae. The record is from RefSeq and is a predicted model, not a curated record.
UGUGAUCAUGACCGCAGUUGUGGACGUGGAUUGUUCUGUGAUCGUCACUUUGGUCUGUGUGUAGCACUGCGCCACGAAGGCCAGUACUGCCGAAAGGAUUCCCAGUGUGUCAGGGGCUUGGGUUGUAUGUUUGGCCGGUGCCAACGAAUUAUACCUGGUGGACAUGAAGGGUCCAGGUGCCGCCAGGAUAAGGAUUGCCCCCUGUCUAUGUGCUGUGCCAGGCACCACGGAGAAAUGAUCUGUAAACGCAAACUACCUGCUGGGGGCAGCUGUUAUGUUCCAGAAGGAGGCUUGGCAUUCAGCAUCAACCAGCUAUGCCCAUGUGAAGAGGGAUUGGUCUGCAGUUCCACACCUCCGUCUCGAGAGAAGGAAUUUGUUUACAGUCCCGGCUUAGACUGGAAGUGUGUUGCCCCCUCCCCAUGAUGCCCCUGCUGCGUCCCUCUGUAAAUAUCCUGUACAUACAAAUUAUAUAAA